GAGACACCCUUAUGGGGCAGGACUUGCUUCAGUGGGGCUUUGGUGCUCACUGAGUCUGCCGCUUGUGUGGGUCUCU
This is a non-coding RNA of Myotis davidii, 76 nucleotides long. Lineage: Eukaryota; Metazoa; Chordata; Mammalia; Chiroptera; Vespertilionidae. The record is from Rfam.